Molecule: long non-coding RNA, 3148 nt
Organism: Melopsittacus undulatus (budgerigar)
Lineage: Eukaryota; Metazoa; Chordata; Aves; Psittaciformes; Psittaculidae
Source: Ensembl
GGUAAAUGGGGGCUUAAGGGGGCAAUUGGGGGGGUAAAUGGAGGCCUAUGGGGGCAAAUGGGGGGUAAAUGGGGCCCUAGGGGGGCAAUUGGGGGGGUAAAUAAGGGCCUAUGGGGGCAAUUGAGGGUAAAUGGGGGCCUAUGGGGGGGUAAAUGGGGGGGGGCAAUUGGGGUCGUGACCCCCUGUGACCCUUUGACCCCCCUGGAGGAGCUGCUGUUGGCUCUGCUGGUUGCCGGGGUAACAGCCACGCCCUUCGUGGAGGAGCCGACCAAUGGGAGCGCGGCGCUGGGCGGGGAGGCGGAGCUCCGCUGUGCCGUGCGGGGGGGCGUGGCCGCGCAGUGGGCGAGGGACGGGCUCCUCCUCGGGGCCCCGCCCACCGCCGCCCACCCGCGAUACCGAUUGGCUGGAGACCAGACACGAGGUGGGCGGGGCUUAAACAGGGGGUGGGGCUUAAAGAGGGGGGCGUGGCUUAAUGUGGGGGCGUGGGCGAGGGACGGGCUCCUCCUCGGAGCCCCGCCCACCGCCGCUCACCCUCGCUACCGAUUGGCUGGAGACCAGACACGAGGUGGGCGGGGCUUAAACAGGGGGUGGGGCUUGAACAGGGGGCGGGGCUUAAUGAGGGGGCGUGGGCGAGGGACGGGCUCCUCCUGGGAGCCCCGCCCACCGCCGCCCACCCCCGAUACCGAUUGGCUGGAGACCCACAACGAGGUGGGCGGGGCUUAAACAGGGGGCGUGGUUAAGGGAGGGGGCGUGGUUUAACGAGGGGGCGUGGCCGCGCAGUGGGCGAGGGAUGGGCUCCUCGGGGCCCCGCCCACCGCCGCCCACCCCCGAUACCGAUUGGCUGGAGACCCAAACCGAGGUGGGCGGGGCUUAAACAGGGGCGGGGCUUAAGGAGGGGGCGUGGUCUGAUGAGGGGGCGUGGCCUCGUCAGGGCAGUACCACCUCCGCAUCCGGGGGGUGCAGCUGGAGGACGAUGCCACCUUCGAGUGCCAAGCGGGGGGGGGCAACGGGAGCAGCCCCCCCCGAGCGUCCAGACCCGUCCAGCUGCGGGUGAUGGGUAUGGGAUGGGAUGGGGAUAAUGGGGAUGGGAUAACGGGGAUGGGAUAACUGGGAUGGGAUAACAGGAAUGGGAUGGGGAUGGGGAUGGGAUAAUGGGGAUGGGGAUAAUGGGAAUGGGGUAAUGGGAAUGGGGAUAAUGGGAACGGGGAUAAUGGGAAUGGGGUAAUGGGGAUGGGAUAAUGGGAAUGGGGAUAAUGGGGAUGGGGAUAAUUGGAAUGGGAUAAUGGGAAUGGAUAAUGGGAAUGGGAUAAUGGGGAUGGGAUAAUGGGAAUGGGAUAAUGGGAAUGGGAUAAUGGGGAUGGGGUAAUGGGAAUGGGAUAAUGGGAAUGGGAUAAUGGGGAUGGGGUAAUGGGAAUGGGGAUAACGGGAAUGGGAUAAUGGGGAUGGGGUAAUGGGGAUGGGAUAAUGGGAAUGGGGUAAUGGGGAUGGGAUAAUGGGAAUGGGGUAACGGGAAUGGGAUAAUGGGAAUGGGGAUAAUGGGGAUGGGGUAAUGGGGAUAAUGGGAGUGGGAUAACGGGCAUGGGAUAAUGGGAAUGGGGUAAUGGGGAUGGGGUAAUGGGAAUGGGGAUAAUGGGGAUGGGGUAAUGGGGAUAAUGGGAGUGGGAUAACGGGCAUGGGAUAAUGGGAAUGGGGUAAUGGGGAUGGGGUAAUGGGAAUGGGGAUAAUGGGAAUGGGGUAAUGGGGAUGGGGUAAUGGGGAUAAUGGGAGUGGGAUAACGGGCAUGGGAUAAUGGGAAUGGGGUAAUGGGGAUGGGGUAAUGGGAAUGGGGAUAAUGGGGAUGGGGUAAUGGGAAUGGGGUAAUGGGAAUGGGAUAAUGGGGAUGGGGUAAUGGGAAUGGGGUAAUGGGAAUGGGGUAAUGGGAAUGGGGUAAUGGGAAUGGGAUAAUGAGGAUGGGGUAAUGGGAAUGGGGUAAUGGGGAUGGUAUAAUGGGGAUGGGAUAACGGGAGUGGGAUAACGGGGAUGGGAUAAUGGGAAUGGGAUAAUGGGAAUGGGGUAAUGGGAAUGGGAUAAUGGGGAUGGGAUAACGGGAGUGGGGAUAAUGGGAAUGGGAUAAUGGGAAUGGGAUAAUGGAGAUGGGGUAAUGGGAAUGGGGAUAAUGGGAAUGGGAUAAUGGGAAUGGGUAACGGGAAUGGGAUAACGGGGAUGGGAUAAUGGGAAUGGGGAUAAUGGGGAUGGGGUAAUGGGAAUGGGAUAAUGGGAAUGGGGAUAAUGGGGAUGGGGUAAUGGGAAUGGGGUAAUGGGGAUGGGAUAAUGGGAUAAUGGGAAUGGGGUAAUGGGAAUGGGGUAAUGGGAAUGGGAUAAUGGGAAUGGGGAUAAUGGGGAUGGGGAUAAUGGGGAUGGGGAUAAUGGGAAUGGGGUAAUGGGAAUGGGGUAAUGGGGAUGGGGAUAAUGGGGAUGGGGAUAAUGGGGAUGGGGAUAAUGGGAAUGGGGUAAUGGGAAUGGGAUAAUGGGAGUGGGAUAACGGGGAUGGGGUAAUGGGAAUGGGGUAAUGGGAAUGGGAUAAUGGGAAUGGGAUAAUGGGAAUGGGGUAACGGGGAUGGGAUAACGGGGAUGGGAUAACGGGAAUGGGAUAAUGGGAAUGGGAUAACGGGGAUGGGGUAACGGGGAUGGGGUAAUGGGAAUGGGGUAAUGGGAAUGGGAUAAUGGGAAUGGGAUAAUGGGAAUGGGGUAACGGGGAUGGGAUAACGGGGAUGGGAUAACGGGGAUGGGAUAAUGGGAAUGGGAUAAUGGGAAUGGGGUAACGGGGAUGGGGUAAUGGGAAUGGGAUAAUGGGGAUGGGAUAACGGGGAUGGGGUAAUGGGAAUGGGGUAACGGGGAUGGGGUAAUGGGAAUGGGAUAAUGGGAAUGGGAUAAUGGGGAUGGGAUAACGGGGAUGGGGUAAUGGGAAUGGGGUAACGGGAAUGGGAUAACGGGAGUGGGAUGAGAUGGGGAUGGGGAUGGGAAUGGGAUGGGGAUGGGGUCUCUAUAGGUCUCUAUGGGUCUCUAUAGGGUCACUAUAGGGUCUCUAUACUUUUCUAUGGAAUCUCUAUAGGUCUUUAUAGGUUUCUAUAGGGUGUCUAUAGGUCUCUAUAGGUUGCUAUAGGGUCUC